GAGUUUGAUCAUGGCUCAGAUUGAACGCUGGCGGCAGGCCUAACACAUGCAAGUCGAGCGGAUGACAGGAGCUUGCUCCUUGAUUCAGCGGCGGACGGGUGAGUAAUGCCUAGGAAUCUGCCUGGUAGUGGGGGACAACGUUUCGAAAGGAACGCUAAUACCGCAUACGUCCUACGGGAGAAAGCAGGGGACCUUCGGGCCUUGCGCUAUCAGAUGAGCCUAGGUCGGAUUAGCUAGUUGGUGGGGUAAUGGCUCACCAAGGCGACGAUCCGUAACUGGUCUGAGAGGAUGAUCAGUCACACUGGAACUGAGACACGGUCCAGACUCCUACGGGAGGCAGCAGUGGGGAAUAUUGGACAAUGGGCGAAAGCCUGAUCCAGCCAUGCCGCGUGUGUGAAGAAGGUCUUCGGAUUGUAAAGCACUUUAAGUUGGGGA
Molecule: ribosomal RNA, 435 nt
Filed under: uncultured organism
Description: bacterial SSU rRNA
Rfam family: Bacterial small subunit ribosomal RNA
Source: RNAcentral